CCCUGAUAUACUAACACUAGUUGGGAUGGGGUGGGGGGUGGAAUGUGAGUAAUUGCAGCUUGCAGCAUGGAGGAGUACACAUUGCCAACAGGGUGAAAAAAGAGAGCUUAACACAAGCACGGAAAGUCAAUCAUUCCCCGGGGACCUGAGCCCUCGGACCAUGCCUCAGGACUACCUGGCCUGAUGACUCCUUGCUGUCCCCAGUCCACCUGGUCGUGCUGCUGCUCCAGUUUCAACUGUUCUGCCUGCUAUGGAUCCCUGACCUGUUCACUGGACGUCUUACCUUGUCCCAGACCUGCUGUUUUCAACUCUCUAGAGACAGCAAGAGCGGUAGAGAUACUCUGAAUGAUCGGCUAUGAAAAGCCAACUGACAUUUACUCCUGAGGUGCUGACCUGUUGUACCCUCUACAACCACUGUGAUUAUUAUUAUUUGACCCUGCUGGUCAUAUAUGAACAUUUGAACAUCUUGGCCAUGUUCUGUUAUAAUCUCCACCCGGCACAGCCAGAAGAGGACUGUCCACCCCUCAGAGCCUGGAUCCUCUCUAGGUUUCUUCCUAGGUUCUGGCCUUUCUAUGGAGAUUUUCCUAGCCACCGUGCUUCUACACCUGCAUUGCUUACUGUUUGGGGUUUUAGGCUGGGCUUCUGUACAGCACUUUGUGACAUCAGCUGAUGUAAGAAGGGCUUUACAAAUAAAUUUGAUUGAUUGAUAGUUGUAAGGGGUAUACAUUUGAUUGAUUGAUAGUUGUAUGGGUAUGAGUCUCAGGUCUGGAAGGGGGAUUGUGUGUGACCUACAACUGAGUGAAAUCUGGGGUGUAUUUACUAGGAAGCAAAUGGAGAGGGACGAUCUGAACUUGUCCAAUUAGAAACUCUCGUUUCGUUUCAUGGUGUGCCCUAAUGAAUACAACCCUAAAAACGUGCUGCCCUGUCAGUGAGAAUGAUAAUACAUUACCGAAAUACUACUGUUUCUCACACUUAAAAUAUUAUCUGUGAGAAUUUAAACAUGAAACAUAAAACAAUAAAAUGCGACAUUCAAACGUAAUGUACUAAUAGGUACAAUACUAGAACACGUCAAAAUCUGAAGAUGUAGGUCCAGCUAUGUGAUUUCUAUUGAGUCAAAACCAUGUGAAUACAUUUUUCCCCCUCCAAAUGACAACCAAGAAACACAAAGAAACCAGUCAUUUUUUUUGUCUCAACUCUAUUUGAAAGGCUACAACGAAAACAACAUGGAACAGUAUUAUGCCACUGAAAAACUUGUUCAAAACACAUGUAGAUGAGUGCUGCAAGCCAGUUCUGCUCAAUUCAUUUGGAGAAAAUAAUUUCAUGGCUCAUUAGAAAUUGUCAUUGUCAAAUUGUUUGGAAAUAAUAAGAUUUACUGCUAUUUGUCUUUGAAUUUAAAAAUAAACGUUCAUUACUUGUGCUAUGAUGUUUAUCAGUUACAGCUGAACAAAGAAUUCUGAUAUAAACACGGAGAUGGAAUCUAAUAUAGAAACAGUGAGGCUGGACAAUGUUUUCUGCAAUAUUAGACAAAAUAAUGGAAAUAAAUUCAGUUCUUCCACA
This is a long non-coding RNA of Oncorhynchus keta (chum salmon), 1557 nucleotides long. RefSeq lists it as uncharacterized. NCBI's taxonomy places the organism in Eukaryota, Metazoa, Chordata, Actinopteri, Salmoniformes, Salmonidae. The transcript has 2 exons. The record is from RefSeq and is a predicted model, not a curated record.